This is a non-coding RNA of Styela clava, 2357 nucleotides long. NCBI's taxonomy places the organism in Eukaryota, Metazoa, Chordata, Ascidiacea, Stolidobranchia, Styelidae. The record is from RefSeq and is a predicted model, not a curated record.
UUCAACAUGGCCUUUGGACGAAUCGUGCUUCGAGUAUCGUUCUAUCAAUCGACAUGCUUGGCGAAAGGCAUGCUGAGAGAUUAUAAUAAGUUAGUUUACGUGAGAGAUGUCGAGAUAAAAAUUCCCAAAACGGUUUUCGAAUGAAGACGGAGAUACCGAAAGGUGAGAUAAGACUUGUUAUGAAAUCGAAAAAUGGAACAUUUACUUUAAAAAAGGCAAGCAACAGCUCGAUUUAGUCAGUCGCAACAGUAGAGCUCUUCCGAUAAAGACUAUUUAUUAACUUGACCGAGGAACGACAAAAAUUCAGUUUUCAUUUUCAUUCAUGUAUAUAGAGUAUAGCUUCAUAAGUUUCCAAUAACUGCAGAUCGUCGUGUGAUUAUAUGGUUAUUAGAUAAUUAUUCUGUGGUUUUAAGAAGUGUUAACGAGAGCGGGUAAUUGGACUGGUAACACAUUUGUCAGUGAAUGUGUAUUGUUUGUGCCGUAGAGGUCUAAGUUUAAAUGAUUUAAAUAUUUCACCAUUAUGAUAAAAACUGUUCAUUCCACCAUUAAACUAUUUGUAUAAUUGUCCUAAUCUUAAUGAUUUGUAAAUAGGCACUUCAACCUGGUGGUUGAGAACAAUAUAUAAUGCAUCUUUUAGGUUAAGAUUUGAUCUUCGGACCAGAAAUCGACUAGAAUGAAUCAACAAAAUCACAGUCUGUAUUUAAUUUAGCUUGAGGUGUUCACUGAACGCAUUAUAAUUACUUUGGAAGUUCAUUAAAUUUGGAUGAACCGAUAUAAUAGAUUGCUUCAUUUAAGUUUAAGCUUCAUCUCGAUCGAGUUAGGCAUUCUAACAACCUAAUAUUAUCGACAUCACGUCACUUACGUAACCUCAUAUAAAAUAAUGUUAUGCGGCAACUUCACGAUUGUUUAUCGAUUCGUAACGCGGUAGCAGAAAACGUGUGUUUUUCUCAAAAUAAUAAAAUCGGAUUUUGGUAGAUAUAAUUUUACACAAAGAAAAGACAAAGACUUCUUGAAUUUACAUUUCAAGUAAUCUGUUUAUACUAUAAAUAGGAUAUUCGGACGAGUUUGUACUGCGUCUAUAAAGAAAUAUAAUUGAAAAUCGCAAUAUUUUACUAUUGAUCGUUUUAGCUACAGUUUCAAUAAAAUGUAUUUUUCCAAAGGUUAGUUACACAUAUUUAUCGGAGAAAAACUUUUUAUAAAUAUUCAAUCAAAUCAAUUAAUCUUUUAUAACAUUAACAAAAAACAUAUUUCUAACCAGCUAAGCUGAAUGCUAAACUGCAACUUAAUCUCUCACGAUACACGUACGCAAUAUUUCACCAAAUGUUGCUGCGGUGGUGGAACUUAAACUUAAAUUUGGAUUUAAUAGUUUUGAAUAAUCAGAUACCAGACUUCAGUGUAAAUAGCAUAAGCUGCUGGUACAGCGGUAAGUCAUUGGACCUUCGUGUCAUUGUAUUUAGGAAUUACUCUCAUUACAAGUAUACGUUAUCUGUUAAACAGCAUUAAUUUACUAAUUCUUUUAAAAGAAAUUGUGAGAUAUUGAAAAUGAAAAACUAUAUAAAAUUUCUGAGGAAAUCUGGAGCGUUUUUAUUCGUUUUAAUGAUUCUGCUAAACCAAGUGACCGAGAAAGAAGCUAUACGUUCAAACGGAUUGAUUCAAAGAUGUGGAACAGAUGCACGUGAUUUUCUUCGAUGGUUUUGCAUAGAUUCAUCUUUCAAUUUCCCAUUUCCAUUUCAUCGUAUACACAUAAUUCUUCGUUAUCGUUCACCGUACAAGGAUGUGUUCCCAUUUCAACAUCAAGCGUCAAUUUGCUGUCGAUUUGGGUGCCCGGAAAAUGGAUAUGAAAAAAUGUGUGAAUAUCAUAAAAAAUUAAAAAGAUGCGAAAUUUCUCGUCAAUAUCACCAUCGAACAAAAUAUAGUAGAAGACGUCGACCAUGUCGACUAAAUGGUUCUCGAUUAUCCUAAUUCAAGAUACUCACAGAAAAAGGAGCUCUGUCAGAACUAUUUGUAUAAAACUUCAACAAAUGGCAUUAUUCUUUUUACUAGUUCCUCUUUUUUUUCGUGACCUCUCCAAAAAGGCGAAGGUGGAUUAGUACGAAUAUUUUUUGCCACUGGAAGAAAAAAUUGAUUGGGUGAUUUUUGUGUCUAUUUCCCCCUUCGAAAUUAACGAUUGAUUAAUUCACAAAAAGCAUAAGCAUUCGACAAGGUGGGAAAUUAAAGAAAUUGGAGUCGAAGAAAAUGUGGAAGAGUAGUAAUACAAUAGGCAUUAUUAUUAUUUAAGUUGCAGCAAACAUAAUAUCGACGAACUUUUUUAAUUAACGUGGACGUGAUAUGUGAAGUUAUUGAUCUUCACUAUGUAU